This 484-nucleotide ribosomal RNA is filed under the name uncultured bacterium. RNAcentral describes it as "partial 16S ribosomal RNA". It matches the Rfam family "Bacterial small subunit ribosomal RNA", at positions 29 to 507 of the family's 1533-position model. The record is from RNAcentral.
AUUGAACGCUGGCGGCAUGCUUUGCACAUGCAAGUCGAACGGCAGCGCGGGCUUCGGCCUGGCGGCGAGUGGCGAACGGGUGAGUAAUACAUCGGAACGUGCCCAGUAGUGGGGGAUAGCUCGGCGAAAGCCGGAUUAAUACCGCAUACGACCUGAGGGUGAAAGCGGGGGAUCUUCGGACCUCGCGCUAUUGGAGCGGCCGAUGGCAGAUUAGCUAGUUGGUGGGGUAAAGGCCUACCAAGGCGACGAUCUGUAGCUGGUCUGAGAGGACGACCAGCCACACUGGGACUGAGACACGGCCCAGACUCCUACGGGAGGCAGCAGUGGGGAAUUUUGGACAAUGGGCGAAAGCCUGAUCCAGCAAUACCGCGUGUGUGAUGAAGGCCUUCGGGUUGUAAAGCACUUUUGGCGGGAACGAAAAGGACUGUGCCAAUACCACGGUUCGAUGACGGUACCCGCAGAAUAAGCACCGGCUAACUACGUG